AGUCGAGGGGUAUUGUUCUUCGGAAUGAGAGACCGGCGCACGGGUGCGUAACGCGUAUGCAAUCUACCUUUCACAGAGGGAUAGCCCAGAGAAAUUUGGAUUAAUACCUCAUAGUAUAGUACACUCGCAUGAAUGAACUAUUAAAGUCACAACGGUGAAAGAUGAGCAUGCGUCCCAUUAGCUUGUUGGUAAGGUAACGGCUUACCAAGGCAACGAUGGGUAGGGGUCCUGAGAGGGAGAUCCCCCACACUGGUACUGAGACACGGACCAGACUCCUACGGGAGGCAGCAGUGGGGAAUAUUGGACAAUGGGCGCAAGCCUGAUCCAGCCAUGCCGCGUGCAGGAUGACGGUCCUAUGGAUUGUAAACUGCUUUUGCACAGGAAGAAACACUCGGUCGUGACCGAGCUUGACGGUACUGUGAGAAUAAGGAUCGGCUAACUCCGUGCCAGCAGCCGCGGUAAUACGGAGGAUCCAAGCGUUAUCCGGAAUCAUUGGGUUUAAAGGGUCCGUAGGCGGUUUGGUAAGUCAGUGGUGAAAGCCCAUCGCUCAACGGUGGAACGGCCAUUGAUACUGCCAGACUUGAAUUAUUAGGAAGUAACUAGAAUAUGUAGUGUAGCGGUGAAAUGCUUAGAGAUUACAUGGAAUACCAAUUGCGAAGGCAGGUUACUACUAAUGGAUUGACGCUGAUGGACGAAAGCGUGGGUAGCGAACAGGAUUAGAUACCCUGGUAGUCCACGCCGUANACGAUGGAUACUAGCUGUUGGGAGCAAUCUCAGUGGCUAAGCGAAAGUGAUAAGUAUCCCACCUGGGGAGUACGUUCGCAAGAAUGAAACUCAAAGGAAUUGACGGGGGCCCGCACAAGCG
RNAcentral lists this ribosomal RNA (865 nucleotides) under uncultured Bacteroidota bacterium. Its description in RNAcentral is "bacterial SSU rRNA". It matches the Rfam family "Bacterial small subunit ribosomal RNA", at positions 60 to 931 of the family's 1533-position model. The record is from RNAcentral. Lineage: Bacteria; Pseudomonadati; Bacteroidota.